GACGAACGCUGGCGGCGUGCUUAACACAUGCAAGUCGAACGGAAAGGCCCUGCUUUUGUGGGGUGCUCGAGUGGCGAACGGGUGAGUAACACGUGAGUAACCUGCCCUUGACUUUGGGAUAACUUCAGGAAACUGGGGCUAAUACCGGAUAGGAGCUCCUGCUUCAUGGUGGGGGUUGGAAAGUUUCGGCGGUUGGGGAUGGACUCGCGGCUUAUCAGCUUGUUGGUGGGGUAGUGGCUUACCAAGGCUUUGACGGGUAGCCGGCCUGGGAGGGUGACCGGCCACAUUGGGACUGAGAUACGGCCCAGACUCCUACGGGAGGCAGCAGUGGGGAAUAUUGCACAAUGGGCGGAAGCCUGAUGCAGCAACGCCGCGUGCGGGAUGACGGCCUUCGGGUUGUAAACCGCUUUCGCCUGUUACGAAGCGUGAGUGACGGUAAUGGGUAAAGAAGCACCGGCUAACUACGUG
Molecule: ribosomal RNA, 468 nt
Filed under: uncultured bacterium
Lineage: Bacteria
Description: partial 16S ribosomal RNA
Rfam family: Bacterial small subunit ribosomal RNA
Source: RNAcentral